UGGGGAAUUUUGGACAAUGGGCGCAAGCCUGAUCCAGCCAUGCCGCGUGAGUGAAGAAGGCCUUCGGGUUGUAAAGCUCUUUCGGUGGGGAAGAAAUGGCACGGGUUAAUACCCUGUGUUGAUGACGGUACCCGCAUAAGAAGCACCGGCUAACUACGUGCCAGCAGCCGCGGUAAUACGUAGGGUGCGAGCGUUAAUCGGAAUUACUGGGCGUAAAGCGUGCGCAGGCGGUUGUAUAAGUCAGAUGUGAAAUCCCCGGGCUCAACCUGGGAACUGCAUUUGAGACUGUACGGCUAGAGUUUGGCAGAGGGGGGUGGAAUUCCACGUGUAGCAGUGAAAUGCGUAGAGAUGUGGAGGAACACCGAUGGCGAAGGCAGCCCCCUGGGCCAAUACUGACGCUCAUGCACGAAAGCGUGGGGAGCAAACAG
Molecule: ribosomal RNA, 428 nt
Filed under: uncultured bacterium
Lineage: Bacteria
Description: bacterial SSU rRNA
Rfam family: Bacterial small subunit ribosomal RNA
Source: RNAcentral